UCAGGCCCAAGCCCUGGGAACAGAGGGCGGAUUUGUGAAAGUGGCUCCGUCCAGCCCUGCACUGCGACCUUGGGCUUCGGGCGAGUCCCUUCACCUCGCCAAGCUUCAAGGUCCUCAUGGGUACAAAGAUGGGGCCGUAAGGAACAUAUGUCUCAGGAUUAUGAGAAAAUGAAACCUACAUCCGUGCCGGUACUGGGGUCGGUGCUCAGUGAAACCCAGCACCGUCACGGCGCUGGGCAGCAACGUGGGUUCACACGGUUGGUGGGUCGAGGGCGUGCCUGAGGAUGUGUGGUUUUGGAAGGAUGUCGUUGGAAAGGUCGCUCAGGGUCAGUGAAUGUUUGUUGAACGAAGGAAUUCAUUCCACUUUCAACAAACAUUCGCCUCCGAGGUCCCCUCUGUGCCCAGCCCUGGGACACCACCUGCGAGGAAGCCAGCACGCGUCCUCGCCUGCCAGCUGGACCAGGUACCUUCUGAGGCCAAGCCUAAACCCACCACCAUCGGGUGGGGGGCGCUGCCUUCACCUUGGCCUCGAGCUCUGUGAUUCCUCCCACCCGCACCCCCCCCACAGCAUCAUUCUAACCACUGGUUUCCGUGUCUGUGCUCCUGGCCACGGUGUCUCACAGACAGAAUCAUUGCCCAGAGGAGGGUGUCCCAGACGGAGGGCACGGCAUGGACAAAGACCCAGGCAUGAAAGAGCAAAGUAUGUUCUGGGAACAGCAAGCCAGUUGGAGUGGCUGCCGUGUGAAGAAACUUAGCUGGGAGCUGUGGGCAGUGGGAUUGCCUCGGGUCUGUGCCACACGGAGAGAGGCCUUGAGGACCGUGCUAAGGAAUUUUGGAUCUUGGUCAUGUGGGCAACUCGGGUCAUUGUUUAUUUUGAGCAGAGGAGUGUCCUAUUCAGGUUACGGAUUUAGACAGAGCCCUCUGGUAGGCAGCAUGGAGGAUAAUUUGGAUGGAGCUAAUCAGGAGGCAGAGCAACCAGCUAGGAAGCAGAUGCUGCUGCCAUACAGUGUCCCUCGUUCAGAUGAGUUUUUCGACACCCAGCUCUACUCGGCCACUUCCUGGACCAGAAAACUGGAGGGCGAGCCCCUCCCCCACUGUCUGAGGACCGAAGCCCCAACGCCUAGGCCUGCAAGGCCUGGGGCCCCAAGACCUAGGCCCCGGCCACUGUGCAACCAUCCCCCCACCCUGGGUACGUGUUCCACACUCCAUUUGCUCAACGUGCAAAUAUCUGCUGAGCCCUAACUAUGUGCCAGAAAUUGUGUCCGGCGCCCAGGAAAUAGCUGCCCAUCCCGCCUCGCACACAAACGCCCAAGCGAACCUUGGUAUGUUUUCAGACCAGCAGCUCAGUCGCAAAACACGAAGCAGGCUACUUGCAAUUUGCCUUCAGCUGCCUGGAAAAUCUGCAGAGAACCCCCUUUAAUCCCUCCUUCUUAUCCCCAACUUCUGCCUUCCUCUCCCCCCCCUUGGAGGACGCAUGGCCCCUUGAAGUUUUGUUUGCUUGCAGGGAAUAAAAAAACAACAAAAACCCA
Molecule: RNA transcript, 1529 nt
Organism: Phacochoerus africanus (Common warthog)
Lineage: Eukaryota; Metazoa; Chordata; Mammalia; Artiodactyla; Suidae
Exons: 5
Source: RefSeq, a predicted model, not a curated record